Cyprinodon tularosa is the source of this 649-nucleotide long non-coding RNA. RefSeq lists it as uncharacterized. Lineage: Eukaryota; Metazoa; Chordata; Actinopteri; Cyprinodontiformes; Cyprinodontidae. The record is from RefSeq and is a predicted model, not a curated record. The transcript is spliced from 3 exons.
UAUUUAUUGAUCUGUUUCAUAAAAUCCCACAAAAGUAAAAAUGUGUGGCUUGGUGACACAGAUAAAGUAUUCCAAAAACACUGUUUAUAUUAAGCACAAUGAAAGGAUAUCCUUUGUUAUUCACUUUUGUUUAGAUGUUUGCUUAAGUAACUACCGGUAGCUACGUUUUACUGUUUCUUUUAAGCUCCAGAGGUAAAGGAAUCAAAGAAAACCGUGGUGAAGCUGAAAAUCCAGACCACUGCAAACUUGGGGGACCCAAGAGUCAGUGCUGAACUUGAGCAGCAGUUGCAUGCACUGCUUGUAAACCAAGGUGUGACUGACUUCAAACUGACCUGGAAAAAGAAGCCAGAAAAACCUUCAACCUAGAAGAGGACUACCAAGAAAGCUGCAGCAAAGUCAUCUUUAAAUGUCUUAUAGGAAUCAUCUUUAAUAUACUAAUGAAUCACUUUUUGUUUAGGUAACAAUUAAAACACAUAACAUCUGAAUAUACUAUAAAUAUUUAGACAUCCUCCUUUGUGUGCUUUGUAGAAAUCCAUUCUAUUCACUUUAGGGGGUUUACUUAGUUUCAGUUUAAGGAUGUAAUACCUAAAAUGAAUGGAUUGAGCAUAACAAAGAGUUUUUUGUUGUAUGCAAUCUUUUACUUAAUAUU